Molecule: ribosomal RNA, 407 nt
Filed under: uncultured bacterium
Lineage: Bacteria
Description: partial 16S ribosomal RNA
Rfam family: Bacterial small subunit ribosomal RNA
Source: RNAcentral
GACGAACGCUGGCGGCGUGCCUAAUACAUGCAAGUAGGACGCAGUUGCGAACGGGUGAUUAACGCGUAGGUAACUACCUAUUAGAAGGGGAUAACUAUUGGAAACGAUAGCUAAUACCGCAUACUAGUAGCUGGACCUGCGUUGUAUUAGCUAGUAGGUAGGGUAAUGGCCUACCUAGGCAAAGAUACAUAGCCGACCUGGGGGGGGGAACGGCCCAACUGGGACUGGGAAACGGCCCCGACUCCUACGGGAGGGAGCAGGAGGGAAUCUUCGGCAAUGGGGGGAAACCUGAACGGGCAACGCCGCGUGAGUGAAGAAGGUUUUCGGAUCGUAAAGCUCUGUUGUUAAGGAAGCGGUACUUAACCAGAAAGGGACGGCUAACUACGUGCCAGCCGCCGCGGUAAUAC